GUCAAUGGCCAUACCACCCUGAAUGUGCCCGAUCUUGUUUCGUCUCAGAAGCUAAACAAGGCGAGGUCUGGUUAGUAUUUGGGUGGCAGAACGCAAAUGCUACAGACU
Ribosomal RNA from Mustela putorius furo (domestic ferret), 108 nucleotides. Lineage: Eukaryota; Metazoa; Chordata; Mammalia; Carnivora; Mustelidae. The record is from Ensembl.